GGCUCUGUAGCUCAACUGAAUAGAGCAACAGCCUUCUAAGCUGUGGGUCAUAGGUUUGAAUCCUAUCAGAGUCA
RNAcentral lists this transfer RNA (74 nucleotides) under Crassvirales sp. Its description in RNAcentral is "tRNA-Arg". It matches the Rfam family "tRNA". From Rfam's summary of the family: Transfer RNA (tRNA) molecules are approximately 80 nucleotides in length. Their secondary structure includes four short double-helical elements and three loops (D, anti-codon, and T loops). The record is from RNAcentral. Lineage: Duplodnaviria; Heunggongvirae; Uroviricota; Caudoviricetes; Crassvirales.